This 2947-nucleotide long non-coding RNA is filed under the name Panax ginseng (ginseng). RNAcentral describes it as "long non-coding RNA (PGIN_LNC005282)". Lineage: Eukaryota; Viridiplantae; Streptophyta; Magnoliopsida; Apiales; Araliaceae. The record is from RNAcentral.
UAGAAAUGAUUUUUGAAAAAAUACUAAAGGAACUUGGAAAAUUAUGGAAAAAUAAUUUUUGUGUAUGAAAUAUAUGUAUAUGUGUUUGACCAAAGGAUAGAAAAAUAAUAAGUUGAUUUGGUAUUUUUCGUGAAAAAGAAUAUUGAUUUCAGGAUACUGAAAUGAAAUCCGUCUUACUGAAAUGGUAUUUCGGUUUACUAAGAUGUUAUCUAAUUUACUAGGAUAACAUAUAAAAAUGAAUAACUUAUAAGUACAAGUUAUGAUGUGAUUAAAAGAAUAUCAAAGUAUAAUAAGAAUAUUAAGACUUAAACCUAUUGUCUAAUACUUAACUAUAUGUUAUGACUAACCGAAAGAUCUAUUAUAGGUUUUAUAUGCUGUAUAGACUGAUAGGAUUAUGUGUUUAAGUUAUUUUAUAACGGUGAUGAUAUUAUUCUAAUAUUGGAGAUCUAUAUUAUUAAUAUUAGGUCUUCAGGAGAAGCUUAUUAUAUUGCGUUACGGUAAUCAACGGUUCAGGCAAGUUUUUCAAGUUCUUUUUACUUAAACUCUUUUAAGAGUGGUUUCAGACAGAUAUGCUUAUGAAUUGUACUCUGUACAUAUUGCAUGUAUUCAUCAGGUAUGAAAGGCUGAUCACCUUCAUUACCAGUCAGUUCAGAUAUAAUUGUUAUGUUCAUUUUCAAUGUUCAUUCAGCUUUGAAAUUUUGUUCAUGCUAAUUCACAACUACAUUGUGAAGGAUAGCCAGCUUAUUAUUCAAACUCUUUCAAUCAUGAUAUAUCUUUACCUUGUUUUUUUUAAACUUGCUGGGCAACUUUCAUGCUCACCCUUGCUAUAUCAUGAUAAAACAUUGCAGAUAAGGCGAAUACGGCCAGAUACAGGAAAAGGAUAAUGCCAAGUUCAGCUUGGGAUAGAAUGUGAAGUUAAGUUGUAAAGUAUGUUGAAGAAUAGUAUUGUCAUGUGUUAGACAGUUCACGAUUGUGUAUUAGUUAAGGUUACUCGAUUUUGGGAAUAGUGUGUAAAGUUUAAUGUAUAAACAAUUUAUGUUUAUAUCUUCCGCAAUAGUGAUAGAAUUAGUAUACCGGAUCCGCGGCGAUUUGGGACCCGAAUUUGGGGCUAUCACAGUUGGUAUCAAAGUUGUAGGUUAUAAACCUUAGGUAGGUGUACCUUAGGCUAUAACCACAAAGAUGAUAAGUAAUAAACUCGAAUAGAGUUUAAGCGAUAAGAGAUGAAUUUAUGGAAAUUCAUCAUUAAGUAAAGAAGAAGAUAAAGAAGAUUCAAAGAAGAAUCUUGAAGAGAUAUAAGGAUAAGAAUCUGGAGUUACCUAACUCCAGUAAUAGAGAUGAAAAGUGAAAAUAAAUAGACUAUGUCUAUAAGAUGAAAAGUGUAAAUAAAAUCAUAAUAAAAUAUGAUUAAAGAGAAGAAUAAGAAGAUCGUAAAAUAAAACGAUCGUUAGCAUAAGGAGAAAUGAUUACGAAAUAAGAUCACCACGUGAUCAGAUUAAAUCAUUGAAUAACAUAUGAUUUGUUAAGUGAUUGGAAUGAUAUAGCUUGAUGCUAUAAAGAGAAGGUACUAUGAAAUGGUACAAUGUAAACUCAAAAAUGAGUGGAAAAUGUUAAGAUACGGAUUAAAGAAAAUUCGUAUUAAGAAAAGAGAAAGUUAAGAUUAUAUGGGUUUUCAAUUGAGGACUCAGGUCAGCAGCUGAGUUGUAUGAUUCCUUGUAUGGGCGGGGAAUUUGUACUUGGUUUUAGAAUCACUUAGCUUCCUGGUUGAUAUAGUGGUUAGGUUGACAAAUUCUUUGUAUGGGCGUGGAAUUGUCCGCUUAGCUUCCUAUAUUGAUUAGUGGCCGAGUUUGGUUUGACAACCACUUAGUUUCUGGUAAUGAUAAUCAUUGGAACCUAAUGUCGCGCUAUUUGUUAUAUGCAUGUUGAGAAGGUGAUUCUUUGCUCAUGUGUAUAACGAAUAGGUAUGUUCAUCAGGUAUGAAUUGUGAGUUCUUAAAACUCAUACUUAUGGUAAGUUCAUGACUCAUAAUCAUAUGGUAUGUUUUGAACCCCUCAGCGAAUGGACGCCUAUGGUCUGACUAGGAUAAGUUCUUAAACUCAUAUGAUUGUGGCAAGUUCCUGAACUCAUAAUGUGUGGUAAGUUUGAUGAACUGGGGUAUAGCAAAGUGGUGAAUGGAGCAUUGAGGAUUAUAAGAAUAGAUAGAUNNNNNNNNNNNNNNNNNNNNNNNNNNNNNNNNNNNNNNNNNNNNNNNNNNNNNNNNNNNNNNNNNNNNNNNNNNNNNNNNNNNNNNNNNNNNNNNNNNNNNNNNNNNNNNNAAUAGUGUGUAAAGUUUAAUGUAUAAACAAUUUAUGUUUAUAUCUUCCGCAAACAGUUAUAGAAUUAGUGAACCGGAUCCGAGGCGGAUUCCGGGGACACUACAGUUGGCUGCAUGUAUUCAUCAGGUAUGAAAGGCUGAUCACCUUCAUUACCAGUCAGUUCAGAUAUAAUUGUUAUGUUCAUUUUCAAUGUUCAUUCAGCUUUGAAAUUUUGUUCAUGCUAAUUCACAACUACAUUGUGAAGGAUAGCCAGCUUAUUAUUCAAACUCUUUCAAUCAUGAUAUAUCUUUACCUUGUUUUUUUUUAAACGUGCUGGGCAACUUUCAUGCUCACCCUUGCUAUAUCAUGAUAAAACAUUGCAGAUAAGGCGAAUACGGCCAGUUACAGGAAAAGGAAAAUGCCAAGUUCAGCUUGGGAUAGAAUGUGCAGCUAAUUUGUAAAAGUAUGGUUGAAGAAUAGUAUUGUCAUGUGUUAGAUAGUUUAUGAUUGUGUAUUAGUUAAGGUUACUCGAUUUUGGGGAAAUAAUGUGUAAAGUUUAAUGUAUAAACAAUUUAUGUUUAUAUCUUCCGCAAUAGUGAUAGAAUUAGUAUACCGGAUCCGCGGCGAUUUGGGACCCGGAUUCGGGGAUGCUACAG